Molecule: small nuclear RNA, 94 nt
Filed under: Prolemur simus (greater bamboo lemur)
Lineage: Eukaryota; Metazoa; Chordata; Mammalia; Primates; Lemuridae
Source: RNAcentral
GUGCUAGCACUGGCAGCACAUAUACUAAAAUUGGAAUGAUACAGAGAAGAUUAGUAUGGCCUCUGUGCAAGAAAAAGAAAAGAAGAACAACUCU